GGCUCAGGAUGAACGCUAGCGGCAGGCCUAACACAUGCAAGUCGAGGGGUAUAAGUAGCAAUACUUAGAGACCGGCGCACGGGUGAGUAACGCGUAUGCAAUCUGCCCUAUAUCGGGGGAUAGCUCGUCGAAAGGCGAAUUAAUACCCCAUAAGACUACGAAACGGCAUCGUUUUGUAUUUAAAACUCUGGUGAUAUAGGAUGAGCAUGCGUGACAUUAGCUAGUUGGUGAGGUAACGGCUCACCAAGGCUACGAUGUCUAAGGGGUCUGAGAGGAUGAUCCCUCACACUGGUACUGAGACACGGACCAGACUCCUACGGGAGGCAGCAGUGAGGAAUAUUGGUCAAUGGGCGCAAGCCUGAACCAGCCAUGCCGCGUGGAGGAUGAAGGUCCUAAGGAUUGUAAACUUCUUUUGUACAAGGGUAAACUACGGUACGUGUACUGUAUUGAAAGUAUUGUACGAAUAAGCAACGGCUAACUCCGUGCCAGCAGCCGCGGUAAUACGGAGGUUGCAAGCGUUAUCCGGAUUUAUUGGGUUUAAAGGGUGCGUAGGCGGGUUUGUAAGUCAGCGGUGAAAGACUGUCGCUUAACGAUAGCAUUGCCGUUGAUACUGCAGAUCUUGAGUACAUUUGAGGUGGGCGGAAUGAGUAGUGUAGCGGUGAAAUGCUUAGAUAUUACUCAGAACACCAAUUGCGAAGGCAGCUCACUAAACUGUAACUGACGCUGAGGCACGAAAGCGUGGGGAUCAAACAGGAUUAGAUACCCUGGUAGUCCACGCCGUAAACGAUGAUCACUGGAUGUUUGCGAUACACAGCAAGCGUCUGAGCAAAAGCAUUAAGUGAUCCACCUGGGGAGUACGUCGGCAACGAUG
This 871-nucleotide ribosomal RNA is filed under the name uncultured bacterium. Its description in RNAcentral is "bacterial SSU rRNA". It matches the Rfam family "Bacterial small subunit ribosomal RNA", at positions 21 to 896 of the family's 1533-position model. The record is from RNAcentral.